GACGAACGCUGGCGGCGUGCCUAAUACAUGCAAGUAGAACGCUGAAGAGAGGAGCUUGCUCUUCUUGGAUGAGUUGCGAACGGGUGAGUAACGCGUAGGUAACCUGCCUUGUAGCGGGGGAUAACUAUUGGAAACGAUAGCUAAUACCGCAUAACAAUGGAUGACACAUGUCAUUUAUUUGAAAGGGGCAAUUGCUCCACUACAAGAUGGACCUGCGUUGUAUUAGCUAGUAGGUGAGGUAACGGCUCACCUAGGCGACGAUACAUAGCCGACCUGAGAGGGUGAUCGGCCACACUGGGACUGAGACACGGCCCAGACUCCUACGGGAGGCAGCAGUAGGGAAUCUUCGGCGAUGGGGGCAACCCUGACCGAGCAACGCCGCGUGAGUGAAGAAGGUUUUCGGAUCGUAAAGCUCUGUUGUAAGUCAAGAACGAGUGUGAGAGUGGAAAGUUCACACUGUGACGGUAGCUUACCAGAAAGGGACGGCUAACUACGUGCCAGCAGCCGCGGUAAUACGUAGGUCCCGAGCGUUGUCCGGAUUUAUUGGGCGUAAAGCGAGCGCAGGCGGUUUGAUAAGUCUGAAGUUAAAGGCUGUGGCUCAACCAUAGUUCGCUUUGGAAACUGUCAAACUUGAGUGCAGAAGGGGAGAGUGGAAUUCCAUGUGUAGCGGUGAAAUGCGUAGAUAUAUGGAGGAACACCGGUGGCGAAAGCGGCUCUCUGGUCUGUAACUGACGCUGAGGCUCGAAAGCGUGGGGAGCGAACAGGAUUAGAUACCCUGGUAGUCCACGCCGUAAACGAUGAGUGCUAGGUGUUGGAUCCUUUCCGGGAUUCAGUGCCGCAGCUAACGCAUUAAGCACUCCGCCUGGGGAGUACGACCGCAAGGUUGAAACUCAAAGGAAUUGACGGGGGCCCGCACAAGCGGUGGAGCAUGUGGUUUAAUUCGAAGCAACGCGAAGAACCUUACCAGGUCUUGACAUCCCGAUGCUAUUUCUAGAGAUAGAAAGUUACUUCGGUACAUCGGUGACAGGUGGUGCAUGGUUGUCGUCAGCUCGUGUCGUGAGAUGUUGGGUUAAGUCCCGCAACGAGCGCAACCCCUAUUGUUAGUUGCCAUCAUUCAGUUGGGCACUCUAGCGAGACUGCCGGUAAUAAACCGGAGGAAGGUGGGGAUGACGUCAAAUCAUCAUGCCCCUUAUGACCUGGGCUACACACGUGCUACAAUGGUUGGUACAACGAGUUGCGAGUCGGUGACGGCAAGCUAAUCUCUUAAAGCCAAUCUCAGUUCGGAUUGUAGGCUGCAACUCGCCUACAUGAAGUCGGAGUCGCUAGUAAUCGCGGAUCAGCACGCCGCGGUGAAUACGUUCCCGGGCCU
This 1369-nucleotide ribosomal RNA is filed under the name uncultured bacterium. RNAcentral's name for it is "bacterial SSU rRNA". It matches the Rfam family "Bacterial small subunit ribosomal RNA", at positions 28 to 1381 of the family's 1533-position model. The record is from RNAcentral.